UACGGGGGGGGUAAGCGUUGUUCGGAAUUACUGGGCGUAAAGGGCUCGUAGGCGGCCAACUAAGUCAUACGUGAAAUCCCUCAGCUUAACUGGGGAACUGCGUGUGAUACUGGAUGGCUUGGAUUUGGGAGAGGGAUGCGGAAUUCCAGGUGUAGCGGUGAAAUGCGUAGAUAUCGGAAGGAACAUCAGUGGCGAAGGCGACUUCCUGGACCAAUACUGACGCUCAGGUGCGAAAGCGUGGGGAGCAAACAGG
This 253-nucleotide ribosomal RNA is filed under the name uncultured bacterium. RNAcentral describes it as "partial 16S ribosomal RNA". It matches the Rfam family "Bacterial small subunit ribosomal RNA", at positions 524 to 776 of the family's 1533-position model. The record is from RNAcentral.